GAUGAACGCUGGCGGCGUGCCUAAUACAUGCAAGUCGAGCGAACAGACGAGGAGCUUGCUCCUCUGACGUUAUCGGCGGACGGGUGAGUAACACGUGGAUAACCUACCUAUAAGACUGGGAUAACUUCGGGAAACCGGAGCUAAUACCGGAUAAUAUAUUGCACCGCAUUGUUCACUAGUGGAAGACGGUUUUGCUGUCACUUAUAGAUGGAUCCGCGCCGCAUUAGCUAGUUGGUAAGGUAACGGGUUACCAAGGCAACGAGGCGUAGCCGACCUGAGAGGGAGAUCGGCCACACUGGAACGGAGACACGUUCCAGACUCCUACGGUAGGCAGCAGUAGGGAAUCUUCCGCAAUGGGCGAAAGCCUGACGGAGCAACGCCGCGUGAGUGAUGAAGGUCUUCGGAUCGUAAAACUCUGUUAUUAGGGAAGAACAAAUGUGUAAGUAACUAUGCACGUCUUGACGGUACCUAAUCAGAAAGCCACGGCUAACUACGUG
RNAcentral lists this ribosomal RNA (497 nucleotides) under uncultured bacterium. RNAcentral's name for it is "partial 16S ribosomal RNA". It matches the Rfam family "Bacterial small subunit ribosomal RNA", at positions 28 to 507 of the family's 1533-position model. The record is from RNAcentral.